Molecule: non-coding RNA, 928 nt
Organism: Parasteatoda tepidariorum (common house spider)
Lineage: Eukaryota; Metazoa; Arthropoda; Arachnida; Araneae; Theridiidae
Source: RefSeq, a predicted model, not a curated record
UAUUGUUUCUUGAUAUUAGUUAAGUUUCUUUUUUUAAGGUAGAAAAAACACCAUUACAUUUAAAUACAAAUUUAUGUUAAAUUUUAUCUCCAAGGCCUGUAAACAGUUCUUUCACGGUUUGAGUGCUGUGUGGAGCAUUGGAUAAAGCUUUAGUUUCUGAUAAAAAGCCGGCAAAUGGUUAAAAUUUUAUUAUUAAAUUUUUAUCAAAAAUUAGUCUUGCUAGAAGCUGGAAAAAUUGCUAGCUGGUAAUAAAACUCAAAAAACAUAAGAUAUUGGGACUCUUGAGAAAUAUGUUUUAUUAAAAAGUUUUUUACUUCUGAAGGUUAUAUUUUUGUUAAAAUGUGUAUUUUUAUGUAUCUGUCAUUCAUUAUCUUAUGUUUCUCGGCAGGUGAGCGGCACUGAUUCGCUUCCAGCAUUUGAAUACCAGCCCUUCAUCUUCUCUUCUGUCUUCUACCAGUUCCUCUUGUAAGUCAACAUCUUCCUCUGUAUCCACACCUCCAGCCUGAGUCAGAACUUUGUCUGAGUCUGCUGGAUAAUGCAAAUGGAAAAUGACAUUCUGGUAGAAUACGAGGGCGCGUAAGUUCAACCCUGACAGAAAACAAAGCAACUGAUGUGUAUAUGCUGUUAGAUUCUCUUUAAAUCUGCCGUUGCUGAAAGUCCUCUUGUUGUUGUGCAGAAGUUUGAAGAAAGGCGUAUCUCUGUGUGAUUUAUCCCUGCUGUGUGUUUGUGUGGUUACUGUUGCUGACAAUUUUAUAAAAUCUUUCAGUAAAGCAAAGAUUCUCUGAAAUAUGAACAAGAAAUUGGAAGUGAAGGGAAAAGAAAUGCAUGAAAUAAAUGACUGUAAAGUUUUUGGAAUUCUUUUUAUUUAAAAAUAAUAAUUAAAAUGAUAACGCAUAGUCCAACUGUUGCUUUUUGCAAUAAAAAUUAU